GGGUGUCUCAUGCGACGACGGGUAGCCGGCCUGAGAGGGCGACCGGCCACACUGGGACUGAGACACGGCCCAGACUCCUACGGGAGGCAGCAGUGGGGAAUAUUGCACAAUGGGCGAAAGCCUGAUGCAGCGACGCCGCGUGAGGGAUGACGGCCUUCGGGUUGUAAACCUCUUUCAGCAGGGAAGAAGCGAAAGUGACGGUACCUGCAGAAGAAGCGCCGGCUAACUACGUGCCAGCAGCCGCGGUAAUACGUAGGGCGCAAGCGUUGUCCGGAAUUAUUGGGCGUAAAGAGCUCGUAGGCGGCUUGUCGCGUCGGAUGUGAAAGCCCGGGGCUUAACCCCGGGUCUGCAUUCGAUACGGGCAGGCUAGAGUUCGGUAGGGGAGAUCGGAAUUCCUGGUGUAGCGGUGAAAUGCGCAGAUAUCAGGAGGAACACCGGUGGCGAAGGCGGAUCUCUGGGCCGAUACUGACGCUGAGGAGCGAAAGCGUGGGGAGCGAACAGGAUUAGAUACCCUGGUAGUCCACGCCGUAAACGUUGGGAACUAGGUGUGGGCGACAUUCCACGUCGUCCGUGCCGCAGCUAACGCAUUAAGUUCCCCGCGGGGGAGGGAGGACGGGG
Molecule: ribosomal RNA, 618 nt
Filed under: Streptomyces sp.
Lineage: Bacteria; Bacillati; Actinomycetota; Actinomycetes; Kitasatosporales; Streptomycetaceae
Description: bacterial SSU rRNA
Rfam family: Bacterial small subunit ribosomal RNA
Source: RNAcentral